UGGGGAUCUCCGCAAUGGACGAAAGUCUGACGGAGCAACGCCGCGUGAGUGAUGACGGCUUCGGGUUGUAAAGCUCUGUUAAUCGGGACGAAAGGCCUUCUUGCGAAUAGUUAGAAGGAUUGACGGUACCGGAAUAGAAAGCCACGGCUAACUACGUGCCAGCAGCCGCGGUAAUACGUAGGUGGCAAGCGUUGUCCGGAAUUAUUGGGCGUAAAGCGCGCGCAGGCGGAUUGGUCAGUCUGUCUUAAAAGUUCGGGGCUUAACCCCGUGAUGGGAUGGAAACUGCCAAUCUAGAGUAUCGGAGAGGAAAGUGGAAUUCCUAGUGUAGCGGUGAAAUGCGUAGAUAUUAGGAAGAACACCAGUGGCGAAGGCGACUUUCUGGACGAAAACUGACGCUGAGGCGCGAAAGCCAGGGGAGCGAACGGGAUUAGAUACCCCGGUAGUCCUGGCCGUAAACGAUGGGUACUAGGUGUAGGAGGUAUCGACCCCUUCUGUGCCGGAGUUAACGCAAUAAGUACCCCGCCUGGGGAGUACGACCGCAAGGUUG
Molecule: ribosomal RNA, 547 nt
Filed under: uncultured bacterium
Lineage: Bacteria
Description: bacterial SSU rRNA
Rfam family: Bacterial small subunit ribosomal RNA
Source: RNAcentral